GGAAUAUUGGACAAUGGGGGGCAACCCUGAUCCAGCAAUGCCGCGUGUGUGAAGAAGGUCUUCGGAUUGUAAAGCACUUUCGACGGGGACGAUGAUGACGGUACCCGUAGAAGAAGCCCCGGCUAACUUCGUGCCAGCAGCCGCGGUAAUACGAAGGGGGCUAGCGUUGCUCGGAAUGACUGGGCGUAAAGGGCGUGUAGGCGGUUUACACAGUCAGAUGUGAAAUCCCCGGGCUUAACCUGGGAGCUGCAUUUGAUACGUGUAGACUAGAGUGUGAGAGAGGGUUGUGGAAUUCCCAGUGUAGAGGUGAAAUUCGUAGAUAUUGGGAAGAACACCGGUGGCGAAGGCGGCAACCUGGCUCAUUACUGACGCUGAGGCGCGAAAGCGUGGGGAGCAAACAGGUUAGAUACCCUGGUAGUCCACGCUGUAAACGAUGUGUGCUAGAUGUUGGGUAACUUUGUUAUUCAGUGUCGCGUUAACGCGUUAAGCAC
RNAcentral lists this ribosomal RNA (491 nucleotides) under uncultured bacterium. RNAcentral's name for it is "partial 16S ribosomal RNA". It matches the Rfam family "Bacterial small subunit ribosomal RNA", at positions 358 to 867 of the family's 1533-position model. The record is from RNAcentral.